RNAcentral lists this ribosomal RNA (308 nucleotides) under Ixodiphagus hookeri. RNAcentral describes it as "partial large subunit ribosomal RNA". It matches the Rfam family "Eukaryotic large subunit ribosomal RNA", at positions 589 to 785 of the family's 3401-position model. Lineage: Eukaryota; Metazoa; Arthropoda; Insecta; Hymenoptera; Encyrtidae. The record is from RNAcentral.
CUUGCCGAGGCUUUUUGUACCGACGACGAUCUCGAACCGGCUCUGCGCGCGCGAAAGCGUUCGCGCUCUCGCGCGCUCACCUGUCGGCGACGCUUUUGCUUUGGGUACUUUCAGGAUCCGUCUUGAAACACGGACCAAGGAGUCUAACAUGUGCGCGAGUCAUUGGGUUUUUUUAUAUUAUAUUUAAAGCCUAAAGGCGCAAUGAAAGUGAAGAUACGGCAGGCAUUCGUGCCUGAGCCGAUCGAGGGAGGAUGGCCCGCGUCACGAUGCGGGCCCGCACUCCCGGGGCGUCUCGCGCUCAUUGCGAG